Molecule: ribosomal RNA, 261 nt
Filed under: uncultured bacterium
Lineage: Bacteria
Description: partial 16S ribosomal RNA
Rfam family: Bacterial small subunit ribosomal RNA
Source: RNAcentral
UAUCCUACGGGAGGCAGCAGUGGGGAAUAUUGCACAAUGGGGGAAACCCUGAUGCAGCGACGCCGCGUGAGUGAAGAAGUAUUUCGGUAUGUAAAGCUCUGUCAGCAGGGAAGAAAAUGACGGUACCUGACUAAGAAGCCCCGGCUAACUACGGGCAAGCAGCAGCGGUAAGACGUAGGGGGCAAGCGUUAUCCGGAUUUACUGGGUGUAAAGGGAGAGUAGACGGAAGAGCAAGUCUGAAGUGAAAGCCCGCGGCCCAAC